AGCGAACGCUGGCGGCAGGCCUAACACAUGCAAGUCGAACGAACCUUCCGGGGUUAGUGGCGGACGGGUGAGUAACACGUGGGAACGUGCCUUUAGGUUCGGAAUAAUUCAGGGAAACUUGUGCUAAUACCGAAUGUGCCCUUCGGGGGAAAGAUCUAUCGCCUUUAGAGCGGCCGGCGUCUGUUUAGCUAGUUGGUUGAGGUAAUGGCUCACCAAGGCGACGAUCAGUAGCUGGUCUGGGAGGAUGAUCAACCACAUUGGCACUGAGACACGGCCCAAACUCGUACGGAAGGCAGCAGUGGGGAGUCUUGCGCGAUGGACGAAAGCCUGACGCAGCCAUGCCGGGUGAAUGAUGAAGGUGUUAGGAUUGUAAAAUUCUUUGAGCGGGGACGAUAAUGACGGUACCCGGAGAAGAAGCCCCGGCUAACUUCGUG
Molecule: ribosomal RNA, 434 nt
Filed under: uncultured bacterium
Lineage: Bacteria
Description: partial 16S ribosomal RNA
Rfam family: Bacterial small subunit ribosomal RNA
Source: RNAcentral